This 510-nucleotide ribosomal RNA is filed under the name uncultured bacterium. RNAcentral's name for it is "bacterial SSU rRNA". It matches the Rfam family "Bacterial small subunit ribosomal RNA", at positions 395 to 905 of the family's 1533-position model. The record is from RNAcentral.
UGCCGCGUGAAGGAUGAAGGCCCUAUGGGUCGUAAACUUCUUUUAUCAGGGAAGAAAAAAUGGGAUGCGUCCUAUACUGACGGUACUUGAUGAAUAAGGAUCGGCUAACUUCGUGCCAGCAGCCGCGGUAAGACGAAGGAUCCAAGCGUUGUCCGGAUUUACUGGGUUUAAAGGGUGCGUAGGCGGAAAAUUAAGUCAGUGGUGAAAGCCCGCAGCUCAACUGUGGAACUGCCAUUGAAACUGAUUUUCUUGAAUAUAGCUGAGGCAGAUGGAAUAUAACAUGUAGCGGUGAAAUGCUUAGAUAUGUUAUAGAACACCGAUUGCGAAGGCAGUCUGCUAAACUAUUAUUGACGCUGAGGCACGAAAGCGUGGGGAGCGAACAGGAUUAGAUACCCUGGUAGUCCACGCCCUAAACGUUGAUUACUCGCUGUUGGCGAUAUACUGUCAGUGGCUAAGCGAAAGCAUUAAGUAAUCCACCUGGGAAGUACGACCGCAAGGUUGAAACUCAAA